UCGUAAGUAUUGGGAGAAGGCCAUGUGGUCCACCUCAGUGCUUUGGUUGGCUUCACUGAGGAACUGGCUAUCGCUCAGUAGCUUAUAUCUUUAGUCAUCCUUUAUGUUAGCAAGUCGCCCGGCUUUACUCUCUUCGGUCGUCUCAUUAUAUCAGCGAUAUCUGUCAAUUUUUGAACUUCGUUAUUCUCAUGUGAUCGUAGUCGCUAUGCAGAUCCUCGUUACGAAUGAACCAGGGAGCGUCUACUUUGCUUCUAAGCACUUUAUUUUGGAACGUUUAUGAUGUUUGAUUCUCUAGCACAGCCCCAGAGCUACCGUACGUCCAUAUGGGGCUUAGGAUCUGUCAAAAAUUAGCAGCUUGUUGUUGAUAGUCAGCUGGGAAUUCCUCCCCAAUAGCCAGUACACCUGUCUGUAUCUGGCAUCUAGUUCGUCCUUCUUUCUUAGGAUGAGAUGAGCUUAGCAUCGAGUGUCAUACCUAAAUAUUUGACCUUACUCGUCUAUGGUAUAUCUUGUCCGUUUAUGAUGACUUUAGCUGAAUUCUCUUUUUUGUUUUUUAAGUAAAUGUACUUUGAGUUGCUUUCAUUUAA
This is a long non-coding RNA of Hermetia illucens (black soldier fly), 584 nucleotides long. RefSeq lists it as uncharacterized. The record is from RefSeq and is a predicted model, not a curated record. The transcript has 2 exons. NCBI's taxonomy places the organism in Eukaryota, Metazoa, Arthropoda, Insecta, Diptera, Stratiomyidae.